Molecule: ribosomal RNA, 691 nt
Filed under: uncultured soil bacterium
Lineage: Bacteria
Description: bacterial SSU rRNA
Rfam family: Bacterial small subunit ribosomal RNA
Source: RNAcentral
CGAACGGGACCAGGGGCAACUCUGGUUCAGUGGCGGACGGGUGCGUAACACGUGAGGAACAUGACUUUCGGCGGGGGAUAGCCGGCCCAACGGCCGGGUAAUACCGCGUACGACCUCUCGGGGACAUCCCCGGUUGGUGAAAGCAGCAAUGCACCGAAAGAGUGCCUCGCGGCCUAUCAGCUAGUCGGUGGGGUAACGGCUCACCAAGGCGACGACGGGUAGCUGGCCUGAGAGGAUGGCCAGCCACAUUGGGACUGAGACACGGCCCAGACUCCUACGGGAGGCAGCAGUGGGGAAUAUUGCGCAAUGGGCGAAAGCCUGACGCAGCGACGCCGCGUGUGGGAUGACGGCCUUCGGGUUGUAAACCACUGUCGGGAGGGACGAAUGCGCCGCAAGGCGAGUGACGGUACCUCCAAAGGAAGCACCGGCUAACUCCGUGCCAGCAGCCGCGGUAAUACGGAGGGUGCGAGCGUUGUCCGGAAUCACUGGGCGUAAAGGGCGCGUAGGCGGCCUGGUAAGUAGGAGGUGAAAUCCUGCGGCUUAACCGCAGGGCUGCCUUCUAAACUGUCAGGCUAGAGCACAGUAGAGGCAGGUGGAAUUCCCGGUGUAGCGGUGGAAUGCGUAGAGAUCGGGAAGAACAUCAGUGGCGAAGGCGGCCUGCUGGGCUGUUGCUGACGCUGAGGCGCGACAG